This 468-nucleotide ribosomal RNA is filed under the name uncultured bacterium. Its description in RNAcentral is "partial 16S ribosomal RNA". It matches the Rfam family "Bacterial small subunit ribosomal RNA", at positions 28 to 507 of the family's 1533-position model. The record is from RNAcentral.
GACGAACGCUGGCGGCGUGCUUAACACAUGCAAGUCGAACGGAAAGGCCCUGCUUUUGUGGGGUGCUCGAGUGGCGAACGGGUGAGUAACACGUGAGUAACCUGCCCUUGACUUUGGGAUAACUUCAGGAAACUGGGGCUAAUACCGGAUAGGAGCUCCUGCUGCAUGGUGGGGGUUGGAAAGUUUCGGCGGUUGGGGAUGGACUCGCGGCUUAUCAGCUUGUUGGUGGGGUAGUGGCUUACCAAGGCUUUGACGGGUAGCCGGCCUGAGAGGGUGACCGGCCACAUGGGGACUGAGAUACGGCCCAGACUCGUACGGGAGGCAGCAGUGGGGAAUAUUGCACAAUGGGCGGAAGCCUGAUGCAGAAACGCCGCGGGCGGGAUGACGGCCUUCGGGUUGUAAACCGCUUUCGCCUGUGACGAAGCGUGAGUGACGGUAAUGGGUAAAGAAGCACCGGCUAACUACGUG